AGUGAACGCUGGCGGUAGGCCUAACACAUGCAAGUCGAACGGCAGCACAGUAAGAGCUUGCUCUUACGGGUGGCGAGUGGCGGACGGGUGAGGAAUACAUCGGAAUCUACUUUUUCGUGGGGGAUAACGUAGGGAAACUUACGCUAAUACCGCAUACGACCUACGGGGGAAAGCAGGGGAUCUUCGGACCUUGCGCGAUUGAAUGAGCCGAUGUCGGAUUAGCUAGUUGGCGGGGUAAAGGCCCACCAAGGCGACGAUCCGUAGCUGGUCUGAGAGGAUGGUCAGCCGCACUGGAACUGAGACACGGUCCAGACUCCUACGGGAGGCAGCAGUGGGGAAUGUUGGACAAUGGGCGGAAGCCUGAUCCAGCCAUACCGCGUGGGUGAAGAAGGCCUUCGGGUUGUAAAGCCCUUUUGUUGGGAAAGAAAAGCAGCAGGUUAAUACCCAGCUGUUGUGACGGUACCCAAAGAAUAAGCACCGGCUAACUUCGUG
RNAcentral lists this ribosomal RNA (492 nucleotides) under uncultured bacterium. RNAcentral's name for it is "partial 16S ribosomal RNA". It matches the Rfam family "Bacterial small subunit ribosomal RNA", at positions 29 to 507 of the family's 1533-position model. The record is from RNAcentral.